Molecule: transfer RNA, 86 nt
Filed under: Aquabacterium sp.
Lineage: Bacteria; Pseudomonadati; Pseudomonadota; Betaproteobacteria; Burkholderiales; Sphaerotilaceae
Description: tRNA-Cys
Rfam family: tRNA
About the family: Transfer RNA (tRNA) molecules are approximately 80 nucleotides in length. Their secondary structure includes four short double-helical elements and three loops (D, anti-codon, and T loops).
Source: RNAcentral
CUCGACGUAGCCAAGUGGUCGAAGGCAGCGGCCUGCAAAGCCGCCGGCGCGAGACCGCGUCGGUUCGAGUCCGACCGUCGAGUCCG